RNAcentral lists this non-coding RNA (58 nucleotides) under Spodoptera frugiperda (fall armyworm). The record is from RNAcentral. Lineage: Eukaryota; Metazoa; Arthropoda; Insecta; Lepidoptera; Noctuidae.
UAGUUCAAUGGUUGUUGUUUACAGAUAUUUUAAAUCUGAACACAGCCCUUGGAUUAGU